ACGACCUUACUUGAACAAGAUCUGUCUUAUAGGCUCGUACCAUUGUAUCCUUGAGUUCUAAGGAGACAAGAGACCAAGUUUGGUGGAUGAAUCGUGGCCAUGCGACUAGAGCGUGAUUAACAGCCUCCAUAGCCUUCGGGUCAUGAUGUCGUAGAUGAUCGUCCUCAGCCUGGUCCACUGAGUUAGAGAUGGUCUCAUGACUUUCUGUCAGACU
Molecule: non-coding RNA, 214 nt
Organism: Capsicum annuum
Lineage: Eukaryota; Viridiplantae; Streptophyta; Magnoliopsida; Solanales; Solanaceae
Source: Rfam